CAAAUCCUCAGAGAAGAGAUGGCCACAGAUGGUAGCAAAAUAGUGACAAGGAGUGACAGAGCCCACUGGCAUGGAGUUCAAUGUGAAAGGGACUUUACAAACAAGGGUGGAAGCCAGGUACCAUCUCUUCACCCUAUGCAGGUUGGACACGGGAGAAGAGAAAUAGCCCUUCGGGACUGAAGGCUCAUGGCAGAUGGUGCAGUCAGAGACAGAGAAUUCUGUGAAGAAGCUGGACUUACAGGAAGACUGUUUCUACACUAGUCGGAGAGGAAAGGAUUCAGAGAGGCUUCCCACCUGGGCUGCACUCUGAUCCCUGGCACAUCGUCUUGUCUCCAGAGAACUGAAGUCACUGCAUUCUUUAAUGCCAUCAUCUCUUCCCUCAUUGAGAGUCUCAGCACGAUUUGAGAAGGGACUCUAGAUUCAGCAAAGGAAGAAAAGGCUGUCCCAGCUCCGCAAGCCUGCACCAACCCUGCCCAUCACUCCUGAGGACAGAGGCAUUCAAUGAUGACCUGAAUUCCCUGUCACAGGCCAUGGGGCUGCAUCGGGCUGUGUAUCUGUGCAUCAGGGCCACUCACCCUGGAGGAUAAUAAGAAGCACUG
Molecule: long non-coding RNA, 599 nt
Organism: Lynx canadensis (Canada lynx)
Lineage: Eukaryota; Metazoa; Chordata; Mammalia; Carnivora; Felidae
Exons: 3
Source: RefSeq, a predicted model, not a curated record